AUGAGUGACUGUUGUCUUCUCGCAGAUACGCCGAGGGUAUACCAGGGUGUCCGGGUGAAGACCACGGUCAAAGAGCUGCUGCAGAGGCACAGAGCCCGGGAGGCCAAUAACAAAAAAGUGAAAACGAUAUCCCAGGCUGGUACGGAGCUCCAGGAUUUUUGCGUCUCAGCUUUUCCAAGUCGCUAUGUGGACCCUCAUCCAGCUGUUCCCGCAGCAGACGCGAGCGGCGGUGGCGCGCGAGCCCUCCAGCUGCGCACCGCCCCGUUCCCGGAUAGCUCGUGCGCCAUGCAGAUGCAGGGGGGGACAUUAAACGACAGCCAGCAGCAGUUUGGGGACAUGAUGUUGACCAGCAGCGGCUACAGUGGGAAUAACAGCAGCAGCAGCAUCGUCGGAGGCGGCGGCGGCGGCGGCGGCGGAGGCGGCUACAGCGCCUCCCUGCCUCCCCCUCCCACCUACCCGCUGCCCUGGUGCCACGGGCUCUCCUCAGAUGCGGACUACUAUGGGCAUGAGAUGGUUUCCUGCUCCUCGCCAGAAUCGCUGAAGCUCUGCAGCCCCAUGGAUCACAACAGCUACUCGCCGCAGGACUCUUUCUCCUCCUCCUCCUCUUCCUCCUGCUAUGACUCGCCUACCAGGAUGGAGUCCAGCUACCACAGCUUCAGCUCAGAGCAUUACCACUAUCAGCACUGCAGUGUCCAGGACUCUUACUGCCUGCCCCACUGCUGGCCAGGCCAGCAGGAGAGCUUCUCUGUCCCUGAAUAUGCACCUUACUACAACACCACAGACUAUCCUUACGCCUGCCCUGUGGAAGAGAACUAUUUUAAGAGGGAUUUUCAGAUGAGCUCUGAGAUGUGUUACAACGUACUAUCAUGAGACUUUCAACAGUAUUGUUAUGUCGUCUGUAAAUAUGAUUCUGUCCAAGUACUCCGUCAGGCUGUUUGCUUGAUGUUCCCCUUUGCAUUCCAGGGAGCAUGUUUGAACUGAUUUUUACCUUGUUGGAGUGAAUAUGAUGAAUGAUUAAUGGAUGGAAAUGUCAAUGUUUUUGCAUCAGUGACUUUGUUUUUGUACUGCUUAAAUUUAUUUUCAUACACACAACUUGUUGCUCUAAUUAAAUAAAAUGCUCUAAAAUCACCA
Molecule: long non-coding RNA, 1131 nt
Organism: Anabas testudineus (climbing perch)
Lineage: Eukaryota; Metazoa; Chordata; Actinopteri; Anabantiformes; Anabantidae
Source: Ensembl